This 1353-nucleotide long non-coding RNA is filed under the name Equus asinus (donkey). RNAcentral's name for it is "lncRNA (ENSEASG00005024183.1)". The record is from RNAcentral. Lineage: Eukaryota; Metazoa; Chordata; Mammalia; Perissodactyla; Equidae.
CCAGGCCUGAAGCCAGGGGGCAGGUCUGUGUUCCCUAAUAAGGAGAGCUUGUAAGUCCCUCCUCUUAAGCUUAAGUGACUUUGAGCUAGUUUUCUGUCACCAACAAUCUGAUGUACUGGCUUAUAUGCCUCAACCCACAAUAGACUCUGAGGGUCCCCACAGGCCCUAUUUAAUUAUUUCCUUAAUGGUUGAUCAUUUUGUCUGUAAAGAUCUUCAAAUGAGAUCGUCUAAUUAAUUGGCAACAGACCCCCAGAAGAUCACCAUUCAUCACCCUUGAAAACAGCCUCACUAUCUAGUGCUGGGAUUAAUAUAUUUAGUGUUGCAUCAUGAAUGAAUUCAUAGGUGUAGCGAUGUUAUCUUGUUACUAUCUGUUUUUUCUUAGGUGAAAAAUUUAGGGAGGAGAUAAUGAGAUAAUUUUUAUGAAAGCUAACUGUCUGACUUUAGGGGAAAGUCCACCAAAAUUUUUUUGACCUUAAUAUUAGGCAUUCCUAAAGCCUCAAUACAGAUCUGUAUGCAGAAUGGAGGGAUAGUUAUGUCCAGGCAGAAAUGUUGUGGUGUCAAGAGCAUACCCAGGUCACUUAAAGUAGUGCAAAUGAUCUGAUCCCUAUCAUUUGUUUGCCAUGUCCACCUGCCUGACGAACCAUGGUGGCAUCAACCAAAUGCUGUAGAGAUCCUUAAUUCCCCUCAGCCUGCAAAACCAGAAGCUGAGCUUGGAGUAUGUGAAAGAGAGAAAUUUGGAGCAUGCUUAUAAGAAAAUCUAGAAAUUACCAAAUACAUCAUUUUCAACAUAUAUGUGCCAAGCAUCACGAAGGCGAAGACAUCUCCAUCUUCUGUCAGUAGCAUUGUGAAUUGGUUAUCUCAUAGGCAAGUACCUAAUUUGAGUCACAUUCUCAACAAACAUCCUAAAAGACUGGAAGCUGGUCUCAGCAGCAAGUGGCGCACAACGUGAGGCACGAAGGAAGGGUCGCCAAAGAAUGACAGUGGAGUUUCAGCGGUGCGGAACCUGGAAGCGGUGUGAGGCCUCAGAAAAUUCCCCGUGUGGAGCCCCUCCAAACCCAUGACUCCUCAGAGGAAAGACAGACAGAGAAGAUGGAGGCUCCUUUGCUGAUGACGUAAAGAGUCCUGAAUAUGCAGUCCCUGAAGGGACAGCUACUAAGAGGAAGGAGCACAUGUGGCUGACGGCACCUGAGCCUGAUGAUAUGUUUCCACCGCCCCCUCUGGUCCCAUUCCUUCCCUGACUCCGGUUCCGGAGUUUGUUGGCAGCGCCAUAGCUAAGCGUCCUCCGGCUUCCGCACUUUCACCCUUACAAAUGGGGAUUAGACCAGCAGUAAAGGAGGGAGAUGUGGAAGCUCU